UGUGGCUCAUUGAUAGAGUGCUUGCCUAGGGUGCAUGAGGUUCUGGGUUUGAUCCCCAGCA
This 61-nucleotide transfer RNA is filed under the name Fukomys damarensis (Damara mole-rat). It matches the Rfam family "tRNA", at positions 6 to 65 of the family's 71-position model. From Rfam's summary of the family: Transfer RNA (tRNA) molecules are approximately 80 nucleotides in length. Their secondary structure includes four short double-helical elements and three loops (D, anti-codon, and T loops). Further hydrogen bonds mediate the characteristic L-shaped molecular structure. tRNAs have two regions of fundamental functional importance: the anti-codon, which is responsible for specific mRNA codon recognition, and the 3' end, to which the tRNAs corresponding amino acid is attached (by aminoacyl-tRNA synthetases). tRNAs cope with the degeneracy of the genetic code in two manners: having more than one tRNA (with a specific anti-codon) for a particular amino acid; and 'wobble' base-pairing, i.e. permitting non-standard base-pairing at the 3rd anti-codon position. Lineage: Eukaryota; Metazoa; Chordata; Mammalia; Rodentia; Bathyergidae. The record is from Rfam by way of RNAcentral.